This 24-nucleotide non-coding RNA is filed under the name Arabidopsis thaliana (thale cress). Lineage: Eukaryota; Viridiplantae; Streptophyta; Magnoliopsida; Brassicales; Brassicaceae. The record is from RNAcentral.
AGAAAGAGCAUUUAUGUACUUAUG